CCUACGGGCGGCAGCAGUGAGGAAUAUUGGUCAAUGGACGAGAGUCUGAACCAGCCAAGUAGCGUGAAGGAUGACUGCCCUAUGGGUUGUAAACUUCUUUUAUAAAGGAAUAAAACGAGGCACGUGUGCCUUUUUGCAUGUACUUUAUGAAUAAGGAUCGGCUAACUCCGUGCCAGCAGCCGCGGUAAUACGGAGGAUCCGAGCGUUAUCCGGAUUUAGUGGGUUUAAAGGGAGCGUAGGUGGAUUGUUAAGUCAGUUGUGAAAGUUUGCGGCUCAACCGUAAAAUUGCAGUUGAAACUGGCAGUCUUGAGUACAGUAGAGGUGGGCGGAAUUCGUGGUGUAGCGGUGAAAUGCUUAGAUAUCACGAAGAACUCCGAUUGCGAAGGCAGCUCACUGGACUGCAACUGACACUGAGGCUCGAAAGUGUGGGUAGCAAACAGGAUUAGAUACCCGGGUAGUC
Molecule: ribosomal RNA, 460 nt
Filed under: uncultured bacterium
Lineage: Bacteria
Description: partial 16S ribosomal RNA
Rfam family: Bacterial small subunit ribosomal RNA
Source: RNAcentral